Molecule: long non-coding RNA, 7107 nt
Filed under: Triticum aestivum (bread wheat)
Lineage: Eukaryota; Viridiplantae; Streptophyta; Magnoliopsida; Poales; Poaceae
Description: long non-coding RNA (TAES_LNC023872)
Source: RNAcentral
AAAUUCAAAUCUGUUUGAAAACAAAUUUUAAAUUUUCAAAAACAUGUUUAAGUUGUUUUACUGGAUAGAGGGGAUCAUAACGAAGAUGUGGGUGUUGGUUUCGUUGGAUUUGGACAAACGAGUAAAAAGUAGCGAUCGUUUGAAAAACAGGGACUAAUCUGUAAAUAAGAUAUUCACGGACGGGUCCCUGGCCGAAAAUUAAAAUAAAAAAAAACUGUCGAGCAAACGCUCGCUAACAGAACCUAAUCUAGCGAAUCUGUUCACUUAAGAACCUAAACGAACGAACGAUCUCUAAAUAAAUUAACCUAAACAAAUAAACCGAAACAAAAAGAAAACCGGGCAAACCGGGGACGGUUUUAUACCGGACCAGGAGAACCGGCGGGUUGGGCGCUGGAUCGGGCGACGGGCGGUUCCGGCGACGGCGGCGAUUCCAGCGAUCCCCGGCGACGGCGGGCAGCAACUCCGGCGACGACGGGCUUGGUGGCGACGGGCGGAGACGGCGGCUAGUGCGGCGCGGGGCGGCGGCGCAAGCGAGCGGGGAGGCGGCGGUGCACGGCAGCGGCGAUGGCGGGAUCUGCGGCGGUGGCGCGACUACGAGGAGCGGCGGCGGCAGCGAAAACGGGAUCCAGGGGUCCCGGGGCGCGCUUUAUAAAGAGGCCGGGGUGAGGGGUGGCGUGGGGAAGGAGGUAAGAGGAGGCCGGCGGCGGCACGGAGGCGGCGGCGAUGGCGUGGUGGCUCGGGACUCCGUCCCGAGCUCGGGGACGAGCGGCGCGGCUGGGCUGGUCUUGGCCUGACCCGGUUGGCUGGGCCGGCCCAAUACGGCGGAGGUAGUUUUUUUUAUAUAAACAUUUUUGCAGACAAGAAAAGAAACAAAAAUAAAAUAAAAUAAAAAUAUAAUAUAGGCAUAUUAUAUAUCAAAAUUUCCAGAAAAACAUUUUCUACAACAUGGACAUUUUUCUAGCAUUAAAUAAAAUACACACACAUUCAAAUAAUUCAAACAGUGCUCCUAUUCUAAUAAAAUCCAAUAAAAAUCAUUUUAAAAUACCAAAAUGAUUUCAAAUUUAUUUCUCUCCAAUUUUCUAUUGUAGGGAAUCAUGUUACCCUAUUUUCCAUAUAUUUUAUUUUUGGAGAAAAAUAAUUUGAAUAAAAACCAAAUAACUCCAAAUUGAAAAUAAUUUCCAAAAGGAUUUUAAAUUUGAUCCUUUUAAACUUCCAACUCAUAUUUCAUAUGUUUUGAAGAAGUCAUUUUAUCUUCUCUCAUGAAAAUCAUUGAGUUGCUUGAAGUUUCCGAAUUUGAAAAUAUUUCCAAAUGAAAUUCAAAUAUUUUCGAAUACCCUUUUCAUUUAAUUAAAUGGAAGAAGUCAUAUCAUCUUCACUCAAGAGUUUUGUAUUUGAAAAGUAUUUGAAUUCGCGGAGAUGCAAAAUUGGAAGUUUGGGAAAGUCCUUUUAUUCCCUCUCAUUUAACUUUCAAAAGUUUCAAAUUUCACUCACUUUGAGUCAAUCAAUCACCCAACAAUCAAACAAACAAUCAAAACUAUUUAUUUAUUAUAACAUUCCAAAAAUUAGAAUUUUUGGAUGUUACAAACCUACCACCCUUAAAAUGAAUCUCGUCCUCGAGAUUCGGAGAGGCUAGAAAGAAAUAGGUUAGGUUUGGGGUCUUCUCAAAAUCCAUCAAUCAUCACCGGGGGUCUGGGGUGCUACCACCCUUAGAAACAUCGUUUCGGUCCCAUCAAGAACUCUGAUACUCCAUCCUUAUUCUUGACAAUGUCGGUCUUCUCAGAUUUUUUGGAAAAACAAAUCCUUCUCUGGGCUCUUCCGGUAGUGGCAUAACCUUUACCGCAAUUCUUUUGUCCUUUUUCUUGGUAAGGUUAUUCCGGGACUGGGUCUUCUUAGCUGAUUGGUCUGACGCCAAUACUAAACAACUAUCGAUAUCUCAUCGUGGUCAACAAUUUAUGAUUUCUCCUGCAGGAAAUGGGUCUGGGCUGAACCUCACCGUAUAUCCUACGGUUGGCAACAACCGCCUUGUACAAGGGAAAAUACUUAUACCAUUCUAAGGUUCAAACAAGGUUUAAUAUCGUCGUCUCUCUACUAUAGGCACGUCACUCAGAUUUACCAUCCCAUAUAGAAAAGCGAAUAAUAAGAGUAAGUCGGUAUGGUGAUCAAUCCAUCCCGCACCCAAAUCAUUACCUUGUAUAUGGUUUAGCGAAUCUCCCAUGCUAACACUUUGUCAUCCUCACCGGCAUUGCAUAAUUUCUCUUGUCGACGAACCAGGUUCGGAUAAAUCCAUUGAUUCUGCAAGCCAAACAAACAUCUAUCGUUUCUUCACAGCUCUCAAGUUUUGCGUAAACUCCUAUAAAAUCGUCUGUGGGUAAGGUCGUAACUCCUUCCAGGGUUUUUCCUUUAGCAAGAGUGUGCUUGCUUCUUGGCAGGUCCUGGGGCCUGUGGGUUAUGGCCCAUCUCAUCACUUGCAAACCUUGAAUUCAUCAUCGGGGCAACUGAUCCUUAUUCCAGCAUCCAGCUUCCUAGCAUUCUUAAAUCCAUCCAAUUUUAUUGUCCUUCUUCGUUCUAUUGGCACCAAACUAAGACGUGAUUACUCUGACUCAUCAUGGAGUUUACCAUUGCUCCAUAGCCAACAUUCUACCUCCUUUAUAUCCAAUAGUACUUAAUCCCUUCAUAUUCUUGGGGUAUCCAACAUAUCAAGAUAAAAGUCAUACUUAUUUUGUCCGGAAUCCACUCCGUGGAAUAUCAUUAUCUUUUCCAGGGGUCAAGGGUUCUCACAGUUACUACCACCCUUGAAAUGAACAAACUCAUCCAUAGACCAUAUUUCUCAUAUCCUCGAAAAUGGUCAAGAUAUUUCUUCAUAGAGUCACUACUCAUAAAAUCCAAAUCUUUACCAACGAUGCUAACUUUAUUGAUUCUCCAAUUAUUACAAUCUCCUUCAUUUCCUUUACAUGCCUCCACUCAACACCUCAGUAUAAAAGAAUUGUUCCCACUACUACUACUAUAUUUCUUCUGUUGCGAACUCAACUAUUUAGCACAAGCCUCCUUCUCUUUGGGACAAUCUCUGGCAAAGUUCCCUGCUUCAUUACAGCAGAAACAUAUUGCUUCAAACAAGUCUCGUGGUUUCCUUAUGACUACAUAGCCUCCUUGGGUCCUCGGCUUCCUUUUUGGGCAACUGCUGAAGUAGUGCCCUGACUCCUUGCAUCUAUAACAGGUGAUAUGACUCAGAUCCUUCCUGGUAUCCAAUCUACUUCUCUUCCUGGACUUUUCCGUUCCAAUCAGGGCUUCUAUUUCCUGUGGGUCAUACUCUACUUCCUCUGUUGGGAAUUCUACUAGAUCCCCAUUCAGACUUUUUGGGAGAUGUGUCCUUCUUCUCCACAUGAAUAGCAAGACUUGGUGCAGGGUCUAAUUAGGUCUUCUUCGGGCGUGUCCUCCACCUCUUCCUUCAUCACAGGUUCUUCUAAAAUUUCCAUAUGGUCUCCUUUCAUUGCUUCUUUCUUUUGCUGGAUGUUUCUUUGAACCACGGGGUAAAUGUGACACUUAGCAGGGUAGUGGGUAGUUCCUUCACACAAGAAACAAGUAAUCUGCCUAGUUGGGCAUUCUUCAGCUGGGUGACUUCCUUCACAAUUAGGGCAUUCAUCCUUGUGUUCUUUAUGGUUGUGUCCUAUUUCUCCACAAAGCUUGCAUGCACAAGGUUUCUUCAUAUCCUUUCCAUAAGGCAUCAAUUUCUGGGACACAAACCGAGACUUUGGCAGAGUCACCUUAAAUUCUUUCCAAGUGGUUACUCUGCCAUCCAUUGAUGGUUUGGUACAUCCUCCACCAAGUAGCAGCACCUCUUUCAAAGCACUGAAGAGCAUGCUGGGUCAUAUCCUUUCCGACUAUAGGGUUAUUCUUCAUGUGAUCCUCCAUGUUCUGAAUCCAUCGAUCCGUCUCCCAUUGACUCAUCGGUCCAGAAAAUAUAUAAGCUCAUCUCCAUUCAUCCUCUAUUGGGUCCAUGGGUUUGGGGUGGGAUAAGAGAGAGAGAGAGGGAUACACACAAUGCAAACAAUGGUUUUGAAAAGACGAAUUUUAUUUGUGGCUGUCGGGAAAAACAUCAAACAAAUGACAGCUCACAAUCGUCGCAUCUAACGUAGGUAUAACAGGGGUUUGGUAUUCUAAAGGUCAACGUCGCCAAACUCUUCAAGUCUUGUUCAUGUCUCCGAUGGCUUCUACCGAUCAUGCUUGUCCUUCUCAAGUUCUUUUGCCGGAUCAUCUCUGUUGACACGAAGUCUCUCGUGACAUCCUUUAUUAUUUCCGGAGUUGCGUUCCAAACUUCUGGGUUUUCAAUAUCCUUAGCAUGAACCAUGGUCCUAAUGUCCUUCAGUUCCUGACGGUUCUCCUGUAUCUCGGGGUUCUGCUCUUCUAGCUUGGCUACUUUGAGCUUCUGGGUCCUGAGUUCUUCACUAAAUGCUUCCUUGUCAAAUACAGCUUCCUGAAGGUUCCUCUUAAACUUACUAAUGUAACACUCCAGAUCCUGGCGAUACUCCAGCUAAGGUUAAAACUGUAUCCUUUGCUGAUAGAUGCUCCAUCAGCUUUCUACCAUCCAAUCCUUCCGAAGAAAUGCCUGCUUAACUCAGCACGGUGAUAAUAUCAUAAGUGGGCGAUAACAUCAUGGAUAGCCGUGUUUCUGCUCUUUGUCAUUUCCAUGAGCUAUCAUUCCAUAGUUGAUAUCUCUUGCCUUGGGGUUUCUUGACAAUAACUUUGAGCUCUAAUGCUCCAUGCUCCAGUCUUUCUCUGAUACACCUUGAUCUCGGGUAUUGACAUCUUCCAUAGUCGGCCAAGUUCCAUAGGGGUAGCCUUACUAGGUCAAAUCCAGGAAUUCUUCAGAGCCUUCAAAUUCUCCUAGUCUUCGGAGUCUUCAACCGUUGUAGUUUCCAUUAUCAUAAUGCAUGGUAAAAUCCUCUUCAUUCCGAAGUGGUCAUAGUUGUCCGAUAUCUUGUACUUCUUGAAGUGGUCUCAUCAGUCGAAUCUUCGCGUGGUCAAGAGCGGAAAAGGGGUAUGAUCUCACUAACAGGGAAUAUUUGAAUAAGCUCAGAAGAGAAGAGAGGUAAAAGAUCUUUUGAAAAUGAAGUUGUAGAGAAAAUCUUUCCUAUCGGCUUGCCAGUUUCUAGGGGUCACGUCCUACAGUCAACCUGGCUCUGAUACCAUCUUGUAGCGACCCGACCUCAGACGGUCAAGUCUCUGUGCUUAAGUGUCAUCCCUGGAUCGGUAUGCUGACACUCACAGUACUCGAGGAUUUAUAAUAGAGGUAAAUCACAUGUAUAAAUUAACGUAAAUACUAUUACCUCAAUCCAAAUAGCGGAAGUAACAACAAGGUUGUGGAUUCCCAUCAACACCAACAGCAAAUUUGAGUGUAGAAAUCGUAACCCUAACGUAUCACUUACUCGUCGUAAGAUUCCUGCAACAUGAGACGUUGCAGCCACAAAGGGUCAGUACAAUGAAUGUACUGGCAAAUUCACACCAUAGGAUAAUGAUGAAUAAUAACUAUCACUACAUGCAUAUAUGGCUGGUGGAAAGCUCUAAGUUUAUUUUUGCAUAAAGCCAAUUUUUCCCUACUGCAAAGUAAUAUAUUUUAUUUAACUACAAGGUUUGUUGAAAAUAUUGAGAAGGUUCCUCCAACUCAAUCCCAAAGUAAUAAUUAUAACCCAACAAAUUAAUUAAGUAAAGUGAUGAGAUCAACAUGAUAAUCCAAAUACCAGAGACUCAAGAUGUCCAUAACCGGGGACACGGCUAAUCAUGAUUAGUUUGUACACUCUGCAGAGGUUUGCGCACUUUUCCCCACAAGACUCGUUCUCCUCCGUUGGAUUUCUCGCACUACAUGGUGUUUGAGAAGCGGAUGAUCGAGACACAGUCUUUCAGAAGCAUUCACUCUAACCCCGGGUAGACAGUACCAACCUACAUCCCCUACAUCUGCUAGCCUACCACCGGAAGAGGUCAUGGAACAUACUCGACUAUGCUAGAGCUCAUAAUAGCUCGUGGCUGCACACGGAAGUUUCUAGCAUGAAUAAUCUUAUGAUCCCUUUGAGCCUGGGUGGCAUUCCAUAGGUUGAUCACACGGGUCCUCCGGGAUCCCCUUGGGCAAGCACUGGUUCUCCAGGUGCCUGGGCAGACCAUUGGGUGCUGCAGGGUGCCCCUACCAUUCCACCCAGAUGUGUAUUAAAGUUGCCACCUUAAGUUAACCAUUAAUUAACAAUCUCGCAUCUGUCAUGGAUUCACUCACCCAAACCACGUCUACGAGCAUAGCAUAGCAGUAUAAGCAUAACGUAGAAGUAACUCCCAACGUUUGAAUGCAGGAUAAUAGUUUUCUACCUCAUCAACUACUUCCCAAUACCCACAUGUUAUCAAGUCCUAACCAUGCAAUGUUUGAGGAUUGAAACUAAUGCAUAAAACUAGGUAUGAAAGGGAUAUGAUCAAAGUGUGAACUUGCCUGUACUGUUGAUAAAGAUGAUUCGCACUCAUAACUCCUGAUAGUUCUACUCGUCACACUCCGGUCGAUCUAGCGUAAGCAAGCAGUAGUAAUCACACAUAAGCAAUCACUCAAAAGACCAGAAAGAACAAAGAAGACAAUUCGGAAAACAUCAAAACCAGACAAAUAACUCUUGCAAUAGAAAACAAUUUCUAACAGUACCAAAAGUAAGUGAAUUUGGCCUUAUCAGAAAGUUUAGGUCAAUAGCUUCGAAUAGGAACAAGAAUCAACUAAAUCGGAGUUAUAAAACUCAACUUAUGAUCAAAAGAAGAUUCAAAUUCAAAUCUGUUUGAAAACAAAUUUUAAAUUUUCAAAAACAUGUUUAAGUUGUUUUACUGGAUAGAGGGGAUCAUAACGAAGACGUGGGCGUUGGUUUCGUUGGAUUUGGACAAACGAGUAAAAAGUAGUGAUCGUUUGAAAAACAGGGACUAAUUUGUAAAUAAGAUAUUCACGGACGGGUCCCUGGCCGAAAAUUAAAAUAAAAAGAAAAAACUAUCGAGCGAACGCUCGCUAACAGAACCUAAUCUAGCGAAUCUGUUCACUGAAGAACCUAAACGAACGAACGAUCUCUAAAUAAAUUAACCUAAACAAAUAAACCGAAA